GACGAACGCUGGCGGCGUGCUUAACACAUGCAAGUCGAGCGGACAGGCCCUUCGGGGUCCUCUAGCGGCGAACGGGUGGGUAACACGUUAGUAACCUGCCCCCGACUUUGGGAUACCCCUCGGACACGGGGGCUCCUACCGGAUACGCCACAGAUUCGCAUGACGUCUGUGUGGAAAGUUUUUCGGCUUGGGUUGGGCUGGCGGCCUAUGAGCUUGUUGGGGGAUUGAUGGCUUACAAAGGCGCGGACUGGUAGCCGGCCCGAGAGCGCGACCGGCCACACUGGGCCUGAGACACGGCGCAGACGCCUACGGGAGGCAGCAGUGGGGAAUAUUGCACAAUGGGCGGAAGCCUGAUGCAGCGACGCCGCGUGAGGGAUGACGGCCUUCGGGUGGUAAACCUCUUUCAGCAGGGACGAAGCGUAAGUGACGGUACCUGCAGAAGAAGCGCCGGCUAACUACGUG
RNAcentral lists this ribosomal RNA (462 nucleotides) under uncultured bacterium. RNAcentral's name for it is "partial 16S ribosomal RNA". It matches the Rfam family "Bacterial small subunit ribosomal RNA", at positions 28 to 507 of the family's 1533-position model. The record is from RNAcentral.